CACGCGAGUAGAAGCGGUCAGGGCGCAGCCCGGGACAUUGCUCGGCAA
This 48-nucleotide non-coding RNA is filed under the name unclassified sequences. RNAcentral's name for it is "Xanthine-I sequence". It matches the Rfam family "Xanthine riboswitch aptamer (NMT1 RNA)". Rfam says of the family: Later it was reported as a ncRNA that recognised Xanthine. The record is from Rfam by way of RNAcentral.